This 1046-nucleotide long non-coding RNA is filed under the name Equus caballus (horse). Its description in RNAcentral is "lncRNA (ENSECAG00000054336.1)". Lineage: Eukaryota; Metazoa; Chordata; Mammalia; Perissodactyla; Equidae. The record is from RNAcentral.
AGUAUCUCAUUGGGGUUUCAUUUUGCAUCUCCCUAAUGACUAAUGACGUUGAGCAUCUUUUCUUGUGUUUAUUUGCAUCCAUAUAUCUUCUUUGGUAAGGUGUCUGUUCAAAUCUUUUGUCUAAUAUUGCUUUUUAAAAAUUUUUCGCAUUAUAUGUUCUGGAUGGAAGUCUUUUCAAAAAAAGUGAUUUGCAUGUGAUUUGCAGAUAUUUUCUCUGUAUCUUGUUUUUUCUUUCUUUUAACAGUCUCUUCUUUUAACAGCUUUAUUGAAGUAUGAUUUAUAUAUCAUAAAAUCCACCCAUUCUGAGUAAAGAAUUAUUUUUAGUACGUUUACAGAGUUGCGUAAUAAUCACCACAAUCCAAUUUUUGAAUAUUUCAUCACCAAUAAAGACUUCUGUGCCUAUUUGUAGGAACUUCCUGUUCCCACCUCUAGCCCCAGGCAACCACGAAUCUGCUUGCUGACUCUGUGGAUUUGUCUCUCCUGGAAAUUUCAUAUAAAUGAAGUCACACGUGUGUGGUUCGUCAAUGUCGCUGUGUGUAUCAUCAGUACAUUUCCUUUAACUUCUGAAUGGUAUCCAUUCAUCAGUUGAUGGGUUUUUGAGAUGUUUCAGUUCUUUGGCCAUUAUGAGUAAUGCUGCCAUGAACAUUUGUGUACAAGUCUUGAUCCAGAUAUAUUCUUUUAUUUCUCUUGGGUAGAUGCCUAGGAGUGGAACUUAGGUUAUGAUAUGUUAUCUUAUGUUAAAUUCAUGUUUAAAUUUUUGAGGAUCUACCAAACUUUCUUUGAAAGUGGCUGCAUCAUUUUGCAUUCCCACCAGCAAUGUUCGAGGGUUCCAAUUUCUUCAUAUCUUUGCCAAUACUUGUGAUUAUCUGUGGUUUUUUUUAUUAUUUCCAUCACGGCAAGUGUGGAAUAGUAUCUCAUGGUGGUUUGAAUUUGAUUUCCUUAAUUGCUAAGGAUGUUUAAUGUCUUUUUAUGUGUUUAUUGGCUAUCUGUAUAUCUUCUUUGGCAAAAUUUCUAUUCACAUAUUUUGUACUAUUUAAGUUUUAGCC